Ribosomal RNA from Octodon degus (degu), 115 nucleotides. NCBI's taxonomy places the organism in Eukaryota, Metazoa, Chordata, Mammalia, Rodentia, Octodontidae. The record is from Ensembl.
GUCUAUGGCCAUACCACCCUGAAUGCGCCCAAUCUCAUCUGAUCGCGGAAGCUAAGCAGGGUCGGGCCUGGUUGGUACUUGGAUGGGAGAAAUCUAUAACUGAGUGAGGUAGAGU